AAACCUUACUAAGGUAAGACAUUGUUAUGAUUGACAGAUUACUUGAUCUUUCUUGAUUUGGUGGGUGGUGGUGCAUGGCCGAUCUUAGUUGGUGGGGUGACCCGUCUGGUUAAUUUCGAUAACGAACGAGAUCCGAGCUGCUUAGUUGGCAAGAUUCGCUUUGCAUAUUUCAGCCUCCUAUGCGGACUGUCAGCUUCAGGCUGAAGGAAGUUUCGGGCUAAAU
RNAcentral lists this ribosomal RNA (223 nucleotides) under uncultured marine eukaryote. RNAcentral describes it as "partial 18S ribosomal RNA". It matches the Rfam family "Eukaryotic small subunit ribosomal RNA", at positions 1210 to 1456 of the family's 1831-position model. The record is from RNAcentral.